GGUAGCCUUCCUACCUUUCCAAUGCCAUUCCUGCCAGCUCAGCCUGCUGCAUGUCGGGGGUGGCAGCAGCAAUUACAGAAGUUCUGGCAUUCUUGCAGUCCCUUUACAGCCUCCACACGGGUGCAGGGUGCAUAUUUCCUUCCUCUGCCCUGGGGAAAGCAGUAGGACUUCACUGCACAGGAGAUGAAUGCCCAGGAGAGAUCUGACCCAGGGUUCUCCUUGCUGGCAGGAGCAGUGUGAGCUGUCCCACUGGUGAGCUCUGUCUGGACGAGGUUCAGGAGGUGCUUGAAGAACUGUCAACCUGCCACUGAGGCAGCAGGAUGCAUUUCCCUGUAGUCAGGCUCCAGCAGACAAGCAGAACCACUCUGAAAGCACAAGCUAUGGUCCCAGAGCAGUAGCCAGCACUUAUAAGGAUCUCAGGAAGAAUGAAGCUGGCAGGCUCAGGGAAACACAUUGCUAAAAAUACACUUGGCAGGAGAGAAGCGAGGUAGGAACCUGCUUCAGUCAGCUCUCUUUGGCCACAUACCCUCAAAACAGCAGGAGGCUCCACAGCAGGCAUUCCCUGAACGUCAUCCUCAGUGGACCAUAGUAAAUCUGUAUCAGUGAGGCCACACCUCCAAUCCUGCAUCCAGUUCGGGCCUCUCGCUCCAAGAAGGGCAUUGAGGUGCUGCAGCAUGUGCAGAGAGCUGGGGAAGGGUCUGGGGCACAAGUCUGAUGAGGAGCAGCUGAGGGAGCUGGGGGUGUCCAGCCUGGAGAGGAGGAAGCUCAGGGAGACCUCAUCCCUCUCUACAACUCCCUGAAGGGAGGUCUGAGCCAGGUGGGUAUUGAUCUCUUCUGUCACGUAACAAGUCACAGGAGGAGAGGAAACAGCCACAAGUUGUGCUAGGGAAGGUUUAGAUAGGAUAUUCAGAUAGGAUAUUGGAACAGAUUUAUUCACCAAAAGGGUUAUAGAAUAGUGGAACAGACUGUGCAUGCAAGUGGUUGAGUCAACAUCCCUGGAAGUCUGUGCUGCACCUAGGACAUGGUUUAGUGAUGGCUUGGCACUGCUCAAUUAAAGUUGGACUUGAUCUUAUAGGUCUUUUCCCAAUCUACACAAUUCCAUGCUCCUAUUGUAUCCCACCUGCCAGCUAUGUCCUGGUCAAGGAGCGUGGGGGAGGUAUCAGGCAAUUAAGUAACAAGCUGCAAUCGCAUUUUCACUGUCAAAGUUAUUUCUCCAAACUUCCUAAAAGGUGUGAUGUUGUCAUCAUAGCUUUCCAUUUCAUUGUGAAGGCACUGAAGCAGGUCAGUCUUUGGGUUGUAUAAGGAAAGUUUAAAAAAAUCCUCGUCACUAGGAAAGCUAGAAAGGAAGAGAACUCAGGGUAGGAGAGCGCAUGAAGAGGAGGAGACGAGGAGGAGGUGAUUUUUAUUUACUGUCAGGGGUGACAUUGUCUCCUAGAAGAGGAAAAGUGCACAACCCCAGCAAGGCUUCUGCUGCUCCAAGUAUUUGUAUCCUGCCUCUUACUGCCUGAUGUGCAUCACCCACACAGUGUGCUAAAACACUUGACCUCCUCUUGACAUUCUCUUCCAGGGAGUACCAUCGAGGGGCAAAUGGAGAGUGUCUGUGAGACACACGGGGGCUCCUUGCAAAGACUUUUAAUAAAUCACUGCACCUUCUUGUCAGAUUUUUGCAUCCUGGAUGCUUCUGUGAGGGCAGAGCUCCAGUACAGCUUUGGGGAAGAUUAAUCACCCUGCCCUGGUGGCAAUAAUGCUUAAGGAAGAAUUUUUCUUCCUUUCUAAAACAUCACUUGCUGUGUUUAACUAGCUGACUUCUGACUCUUCAGGGGCUGGUAAAGCAGACUCAGUUUAGGAGUAUCUUAUUUCUCCUGGUUAUUUUAGGUCCUCCACCUCUGCCUUGGUCUGGUAACCAGAGUGGGAAGGUAAGGAAAAACUGCUUCUGGCAGCAGGAUGGGAGGAGAGCACCUGCUGUCUCUGGCUUUGCAAGGUACAACAGCAUUUCUGGUAAGAGUGUGAGUGUCCACAAGUGACUGCUGAUGAUGGUCUUUGUUGGAGUUAAAAACAUUUUUCAGUUUUUGUAACACAGCAAAGUGCCUGGCAAUCCUGAAUGAGUCCCACACAAUCUUUUGGGGUAAGGCUAUUGUAGUUUGUACUCUUCACAAAUACAAGUGGCCAGAAAAAACUGUGCAGGGAUGUGACUGGAGCUUCAGAUCUGUCCUCUUGCCUAAUCCAAGAGCUGUGAUUGCAGCACAACCCUUUGUUGGCAAAGCACAGUUCUGCUAAAAGCAGGCUGCUUCCUAUGGGCUGUUCUGUGCAGAGAAAAUCUCCUUGGAGAGCUUCUUAAAAGGUUAGCAAAAGAGAUCCCCUACUAACUUCUGCUUCCCAGUAUAAACCCAUGUUACCUGCUCUCCAAAUAAUUCCUGCCAGACAAUGUUUAACUUCAGCAAAAUUUAAGAGCAAACUGUAGCAAACUGAAAUUAUUACAUUAAAUUGCAUCUGAUAAAUAAGUUCUUCUAUUUGACCAAUUCUUGGUCAAAAAAUGUAUGACUUGUCAAAGUCUAGAUUUUCUGGCAUGGAUUCAAAAGCAAUCUGUACCUUUGUGUGUCAAAAAGUUUGUACAAGGUUGGGAUUGGUGUAUGGCAUCUGGGGAAGAAGCUUAAUUUAGCCCAUUCAGCUGCUUCUUUUUGGAAGUAUGCCUCUUAUUUUAUAAAAUGUUUUCAUUGUAGCCAUUGUGACACCACAGAUAUAAAAACUGGACAAGAUGCUGGAAUACUGGAAUUGGACUGAGAAAACUUCAGGACUUCAAAUGAUGUUUUUUCUCUCUUCUGUAAGGUGCUGUAGACAUCUCCUGUCCCAUAUACUCUUUGCUGCUUUUCAUCACAUAUGGUAAAAAUGUGUAAAAUCCCAGUAGUAUAUUAAUUCCAUUUUUCUCACUGUUCAAAAACUCUGAAGAGUCUGCUUCAAAAUAUUCUGUAUUUUGCCUGUGACAGUUUCAAGUCCCUGCUACAGGAUGCUGAUGUCCCCAAUCUGAAAUGAGGAGACAGUAACCUUGCAAACAGGAGUGCUGCAGUUUCCUGCCUGUCAUAAGAACAUGUCAACACUUCAUUAAACUGCCCAGAGCUUGCAAAUGUAAGACAAAUGGACUUGAUUCUGCAAAAGAAGCAGGAGCAAAAAUAUAAUUUUUCAUCCUCAGUGUUUUGUGGAUUAAUUGGACAGCCAUUCAACUGAUUAGGGGAACACAAGCCAGGCCUAGCAAAUCCAAAGAGCAAAGGAUUCUCUCUGCCCAGUGGAAGCUACCUGGCAACAAAAAAUACUUGCUCCAAAAUUUCCUGUGAGUAUAAAAUUCAACCAUUAAAAAUGUGUUUGGACUCAUUGUGUAAGUAAUUUCCAUGUGUUAACUAUGGUUAUUUGCUUUGUCUGACAUGUAUAUUGGUUACCAACUCUAUCUCCAAAUUAUUUUGGCACAAGUUGUGCAGCGCCCUUAUAGAAAACAUGGUUUGAACCAUAUUAUCAACUAAAAUGUUGGAAGACCUAACAAGUAAUUCUUUCUUAGCAAAUAACAAAAUAGAAACAAGCAUCACAUAUUUACUAUAGAGGAAUAUUAUUAUUUCAAAGCUUAUUCUAUAGAAGUAAAUAUUAAGAGAAUUAGACCUGUUUGGCAAAUUGUUAAAUCAAAUUACUUUUCCUACCUAUGAAAUUUUUAUUUCUUCUUUUAGGUGAUGAAGAAUCUACCUUAUGUUUGACAUAUUACCCCUUACAAUUUCUUUAACCCAUGCCCCAGAAAUAAUUAAACUGAAAUUACUCCAUGCAAUGCAGAGGAAAAUAAAGAUAAUAGUUUAAGAAUCUGAACAUCAGUUUUGGUGAAGUCAAGCUGUCGGCACUCAUUAAGAACAGGUUGGAAUCUGAAAAAAGUAGUAUUUCUAAAUAGAAAAAAUUAAAAGCCACACUUUGGUGAGUGCUUCCUUGAUGGGGGACUGCGUUUGUCAGCAUCACACGAAGACAAAGGAGAGUGAAUAUUGUGUUCCUGGAGACCUUUCAUCUCUUGCUUCACUGAACAUGCCUGACAGCUUGAACUCUCCACACUGGUGGGUGUGCCCAGAAUACCAUCCAGGCAUUCCAAGUUUCCAUAGAUAUAUUGCAAUGGAAGGAUUGGGCUCUCUAGAAUGGCUCUUCUUUUAUUCUCAGUGUUGUCACAGAGUGUGAAAGGGCAAAGGCCAUCCAGGAGCUCUAAGAAACAUCCCCUGUGAAGAUGAGACCAUCCCAUGGCUGCCAGUCUGGGGUUCCUUGGAAUACUUGAGGAGCACCUGAGCUGGCCCAGGGGGAUGCACACAGCAGACACUACCCAGUUUUUUGCAGUCCCUGCACUGUUUAAAUGACUUACAGUCCUGUUAGCUCCUGUGCUGGUAGAGCUGUUCCUCUGUAGGAACUUUUAGGGAAUACUGUAAAUCCUUCAGUAAUUUUAUCGUCAAGGCAGUACAAAGCAGUUAUUUUGGGCUCCAGCUCACAGUGCCAUACAAUUACAUCAGAUUCUGCAUUCUCAUGAAAAAGAAAUGGCAAGAUUCUUGCCCUUACAGAAAGCUUUAAGCUUUAAAAUAUGAAAUUGAUGCAAUGUCAUUUGCCUGAGGGCCUGAAACAAGAGCUCUGGAGAGAUUGAUGCAAUGUGAUAUGCUGAGAGCCUGAAAUGUGCUCCAAGGAGUCUGAACUCCUGUAUGCAACUUCAUCUCAUAUUUAUUCCUGAAUCCAUGGUCCCAGCAAAGGUAGCGACAACCAUCCCUGCAAAGAGCAGGGGAGAGGCAGGAACAGAUAAUUGUGGGUGCCCACCAAAUCGUUGUGCCCUGCAAAUUAAUGUAGGCAUUACAAGUUACCCUGCUACUCUUCCUUAUUCCCUUGCACAAAAAGAAGAGGCUUUUAUUUUCCACAGCUACUUGCACUUUAAGCGUGAUCAGGAGCAGAAGACUCCUGGGUACAGAGUCAUGGAAGGCUCCUUGGCAAUACCUAUGGGCUCUGAAUUAUUUUAUUCCAGCCACCACAUAUUGGGAAUGUCGUUUAAUAAAAGCGUGUAAUGAAAAGUAAUGUUGAAAGUUCAUGAAUGUUGCAUAGCUUGGUAAACUGUUAUUUUUCUGUGUAAAGAGCCCUGGAAGUACACAUGGGGAUAAGGGAAAGCUGAAUCUGUCAGGAAACCGUGUUGAACAAUUAGGCACUUAAGGCUAGCAGCAGAAAAAAGCCAGGACUCUGCAGAAAAGUAGAAUUAAUGAAAGCCAUUCUUCCCUUUGAGCCAUAACGUUAUCAGCCUGCUUUACUCCUACUUUAUAGCAUUGGCUUGUCUCCACUUUUUAAACUCAAUUAUGUGAUAUAACCAAAAGCAUCAUCUGGUCUUUUGGUACUUGUUACUAUUUUCAUCUGUUAAAUCAUUUAAGUAUUUUUGUAAUUAAUAAAGGCUUUUAAGUGGGUUUUAAGGCAGGGAGGGCCCUCUUUGGGCAAAGCUGUUGCAAUUGCUCAGCUUCUAAUCAGCUAAUAGUAGUUGGUUUGAAUAUUUGUGAUCUGACAGGGUAAUCUCAAGGGACUGAAAAUAUGCUUAUUUCAGAUUUACUACAAGAAACCACAACAUUUAACUGACUGAGGUCUCUAUCCCACGGUGAACUCAAUAUAACCUUUGCUAUACUACUGGCUUGCAGAAUAAAGAAAACCUUAACAGGGAGUUAAAAGGAAAUAAAACUUAAGGAGGGAGUCACAGUAACAUCUGGAAUACAAAGAGAAACAGAAAUAUAAUUAUAUAAUACCACUGUAUGUGAAUGCAUUUUAACUUCUCCUUUUUCCUCUCUCACAGCCCUAUUUAUCUGGCUACAUUUCUGAGGAAAAGAAGCUGAAAUAAAGAGAUGCUCAGACUUUUUUUUUAAAUUUUAGGAAAUAAGGGAAAUAAAUUGACAAACAAUAGGAGCAGAAAGAAUGGAGACAGCGGCGUGGGCUACAGGCAGAUUUGCUGCUGUGAUAUCAGUUAGGCAGUAUCAGCACCCCUAGGCAGGCAAAGCAUUUGACUUUGUGGGCUGGCUUGUUCACCAAGAGGGAAGGAGUCUUGUGCCAGCCCAGUUCCUUUCUGCUGGAGUUUCUCCUUGUUAUUUGUUAAGAAUCAGUACUUUUCAAAUUGGCUUCCACAGUUAUGAGCCUUUCCAGCACAACACAGCUUUGAGAUGUCACUUGGACUGGGCUGGUGACUCAGACAGAAGUGUGUCUUUGCUAAUUCACAGUUUAUUCUGUAUUUUAAAAAGCUCCACAGAAGGGGCUGUCACUGUCUGUGAGAAGAGACUUCUGAGGAGUGACUACUCGCUGUCAUUUCAUGACUUUCACACACAAGUAAAAAGCGUGUUCUCACCUCUAUAAAAUAAAGGUAACAUGAGAAAACUUUA
Molecule: long non-coding RNA, 6398 nt
Organism: Catharus ustulatus (Swainson's thrush)
Lineage: Eukaryota; Metazoa; Chordata; Aves; Passeriformes; Turdidae
Exons: 3
Source: RefSeq, a predicted model, not a curated record